This 871-nucleotide long non-coding RNA is filed under the name Malus domestica (apple). Its description in RNAcentral is "long non-coding RNA (MDOM_LNC006861)". Lineage: Eukaryota; Viridiplantae; Streptophyta; Magnoliopsida; Rosales; Rosaceae. The record is from RNAcentral.
CAAUGGAAGCCUCAAAAGUAAAAUCAAGCAAGUCUUCCGGAGAAAUAAAGAAGACUUUCGUUGAUUUUCAGUACACUUUAAAGUUCCAACACUUGGGGUUUAAGCCUAUCAACGAUUCUUUUGAAGUGGACACUUGAUUAUAAGCAGCAAUCAACUUUUCAUCCUUUGCAUAAGCAGCGAAACAAAGCUCAGAAACUGCAAACUCAAGAUCUUGAAUCUAAGCUGCAAAGGAGUGGGGGCAGACAUAUGAGACCCCUUCAAAGCAACAAGCUCAGAAUCUGCCAUAAUAUUUGUUGUCUCCUUAGUAGCCUUGCUAUAUCUGCAUCAUAGCAAGCAUAGCAGUCCUUCUAUAAUUGGGUCGUAUACUUCGCAAACGAGCUUGGGCAAACACCUUUCUGACGCCAUCAACAAACUUGGCACAAGCGUCCAUGUUUUCAAGAGAUCUGGUUUCAAAAGCACAUAGAUCUCAGCAGCCCCUCCAGAAGCAAGCUUAGUGGAUUUCUCACAGCUGCCUACGCGAGCAGUCUCCUCAUUCCCAUCAGGCGAAUCAGUCUCAGUGAAGGAAAUUUUGUGAAAAACAUGUUCUUUUGAGCAACAUCUAUAGCGUGCAAUUAACAAAUUAAAGGCGGAAUCAUGCUUGUAUGCACUCAAAAACAAAACAUUACCCAUGAAAUUCAAAGCCUAGUAGUUAGGUGAACCAAGACUCAACUCAAAACAAAGUGAGUUGAGAAAUUUAUACCUUUGUUGAUUCCUCUUUGCAUAAGCAAAGGAUAAUCACCCAAGAGAUAGGGCCUUCAUUCCUUACUUCUUAGCUCCAUGGAUUUGGAUGGAAGAAUUGGUUUCUCCAAGUUCUCAAAGUUGAGAACCUCUA